AUGAACGCUGGCGGCGUGCUUAACACAUGCAAGUCGAACGGUGAAGCCCCGCUUGCGGGGUGGAUCAGUGGCGAACGGGUGAGUAACACGUGAGCAACCUGCCCCUGACUCUGGGAUAAGCGCUGGAAACGGCGUCUAAUACUGGAUACGAGACGUGAUCGCAUGGUCAACGUUUGGAAAGAUUUUUCGGUUGGGGAUGGGCUCGCGGCCUAUCAGCUUGUUGGUGAGGUAAUGGCUCACCAAGGCGUCGACGGGUAGCCGGCCUGAGAGGGUGACCGGCCACACUGGGACUGAGACACGGCCCAGACUCCUACGGGAGGCAGCAGUGGGGAAUAUUGCACAAUGGGCGCAAGCCUGAUGCAGCAACGCCGCGUGAGGGAUGACGGCCUUCGGGUUGUAAACCUCUUUUAGCAGGGAAGAAGCGAGAGUGACGGUACCUGCAGAAAAAGCACCGGCUAACUACGU
Molecule: ribosomal RNA, 465 nt
Filed under: uncultured bacterium
Lineage: Bacteria
Description: bacterial SSU rRNA
Rfam family: Bacterial small subunit ribosomal RNA
Source: RNAcentral